GGUCAAGUGAAUAAGUGCACAUGGUGGAUGCCUUGGCAGUCAGAGGCGAUGAAAGACGUGGUAGCCUGCGAAAAGCUUCGGGGAGGUGGCAAACAACCUUUGAUCCGGAGAUAUCUGAAUGGGGAGACCCACAUGGGGUCAAUGCCCAUGUAUCACAUACUGAAUACAUAGGUAUGUGAGGCGAACGGGGGGAAGUGAAACAUCUCAGUACCCCUAGGAAAAGAAAUCAACCGAGAUUCCCUGAGUAGCGGCGAGCGAACGGGGAAGAGCCUCUAAGUUUUAGCCUCAGCGUUAGUGGAAGCGUCUGGAAAGUCGCGCCAUAGUGGGUGAUAGCCCCGUACACGAA
RNAcentral lists this ribosomal RNA (346 nucleotides) under Moraxellaceae bacterium. RNAcentral describes it as "partial 23S ribosomal RNA". It matches the Rfam family "Bacterial large subunit ribosomal RNA", at positions 1 to 383 of the family's 2925-position model. The record is from RNAcentral. Lineage: Bacteria; Pseudomonadati; Pseudomonadota; Gammaproteobacteria; Moraxellales; Moraxellaceae.